UUCUUUGUUUAACUCUAUUCUGCCUAAGGCCAUACUCCUUUUGAGGCCAACCACAGAGUCCUAGUUUUGCCUUUAGUGACCUGCAGGACAGUGCAGCAUGGGAGCUGGGAGACUCAUAUCCCAAUCCUCUCUGUUGUUGAUUUUGUGCAGAUUAAAUUUGGGCAAUUGGCUGAACUCUCCUGGCUUCAGUGACCCACCUGUAAAAUAAGGAGGUGCACUAGAUGCUCUCUCCACCCUUUCAAUAACAGUGUAGGCUUGGAAACUCUUUUUCUCCCCAGAGACAGCUUAAUGGCCACUCCUACAAGCCAAAGUGAAGAAGCAGCAUCAAGCACACACUUUGCGGUGGGUGGGCCUGGGAAGGAGUAUGUAGUCUAGCGAAUACCAUGCACGCACACGACCUUAUGGGAUCCAUAACUGCACUAACACUAUCACCCAAGAAGCCAAUUCAUUCCACCAUCUCAGUGCUGCCAGAGCAAGUCAGAUUAACUAGGAUCUACAAAACUGAGCUGAGCAUAUGAAAGCAAGGAAAAAGCAAAACAAACAUGAGGGGCCUCUCUCCCCGACUUCGGAUUUUCAUUCAAAUAAACUCAGAACUGAAAAUAACACUAUCCCCACCUAGAACAAUUGGCCUCGCUGACCUUGCUGGCCUAACAAGCCAAAAGGGACCAAUGACACCCGGCGUGUCUCGGGGCGCAGACCCACAAAGCGCAAACUAACCCAAGACAGCAUUGGGCAAUCUUUAAAUUGGACUUUCCUUUCUACAGGCGCUGGUCAGGCACUUGCAAUCUCUCUAGAGACAGUCGCUGGAGAUACGGGGACUAUGUACAGAGGGCACUGUCUCUCCGCCCCACCCCCAACCCCCAGGGGGAUCCGCAGACCCUUAAUUUAAGCUACGUCUCUAAAAGCCUCCGUGAAGUGUGCGAGGGGGGCAUCCAGCGUCCUCCCGAGGAGUGCGUCAGGCAGACUCUCGACCUGAGGAUUGAGAUAACCACAGACAAUAUGCCAAGCCCAAGCAGUUCUUGGAGUUCAGAGACAGAGGAGCCGGCAAGCAAGGCUACCCUGGAAGAAUUCCAAGGUGGGAGCCGCUGUGGAACUGUUCUUGGGUGCGUGGGAGAGGGGCGAUAAGGGGUCCAUCAAGGCU
RNAcentral lists this long non-coding RNA (1141 nucleotides) under Dasypus novemcinctus (nine-banded armadillo). RNAcentral describes it as "lncRNA (ENSDNOG00000052046.1)". The record is from RNAcentral. Lineage: Eukaryota; Metazoa; Chordata; Mammalia; Cingulata; Dasypodidae.